AGUUGGGUAAAGAUUUGUGUCUCUCUCAGGAGAUAAAUGAUAUAAAGGCACAGCUGUGCUAUCCUUCUGCAAUUUUCUCUUCAGCAUGACACAUGCCCUUAGCCUUCAGCUAAAGCCCUAAAGUGUCCAGGUCUGUCUCAACCCUGGCCACUGCCCUUUGGACACGUUUCCUUUGGCCACUACCUGUGCCUGGUGGUUUCCACAACUGGAGACAUGUUUCCAGCUAGGCUCCAUCCAGAACAUGAAUGGUGGGGCUUUAAGCAUCAGCCAAUCCCAUCCCAGGCUUCAAGGGUCUAACAUGCUGUCUUAGUUUGCUGUUUGCUUGAACAGUAAGCACCUGACUGCUCAUAGUUCCGAAAGCUAAACUUCCAAGGUCAGGUUUCGUCAUAGCGGUGAUAACACUAAGUAGCUCAGCUGGACUGGGUAGCAUGAAUCUGUAAAGCCAGCGCCCCCACGGGAAGAUGAGACUUGGACAGGCGAAUGCCUGGAAACUCAGGGGCCGGCUAUCCUGGCUUAGGUGGCAGUGAGCAAUUGGUUUCUGUGAUAGUGGGUGGGUAGUUGUGGUGGCUGACUUCACACUGGAGAAGCUGAGAACCCAGUAGCUGCACAGUUCAUGGGGCUGGAUGCCUCAACAGUUCUAGUAAGGCUGAACACUAGAAGGUUUCUGGAGGGUCACUGUUGGAAGCCUGAAGAAGCUGGAGUCUGAUGUUAGCUGAGGUUGGCAGCAGCAGCAGCAGCAGCAGCAGCAGCAGCAGCAUAGAUGCACAGGCUGGCAAGCAAUACUGUUCUCCUCCCCCACCUUGGGACCUUUUAACUUCUGGAUUGUGGUGAGAAGGCACUGCCACUCUUGGAGGGGGGUGUCUUCCUGCUCAAUUAAUCCUUCCUAGAAGUGCCCCCAUAAACCCAUCCCCAAAGGCAUAUCCAAUCAGAUGGACAGUCACGAUUGGCCAUUAUACCAGCACCUUUGUGGUUGUCUGCUGGGGAGUCCUCUUGGGAGAAACAGAUAUUUUAAUAUUCCUAAUCUGAAGCUUGCAGGCAGUCUUCUCUGGUGUGAGGAGAAAGCCCUAGCAAAAGGCGGCUGGAACUCAGCAGGAACUCAGUGAAAUAGCAAAAUGGAUGGAGAGAGGAGAGCUCCAAGGAGCUCUGCCACUGAUCUUAUACAUGCUGUGACAUCUGGAGAUGAAGCAUCUCCUUUGUGACUGUGAGGGAUAAGCGAGAAGACGACAAACCAAAGGUGCACACAGAAGUGGGUGCAGCAGGGUUGGUGGGAGGGAUGGGGGAAUCCGCACUCCUUGGUGUGACUGCUACACUAAACUGACCCAGCAUUCCUAGUGCAUGAAAUAGCUGUGUCUGUCACUCUCCAAGUCACUGUUACUGUGGUGUCCUGUUACUUGUUGUUAAGUGAAUUUCACUGGAAACAGAGCUCUGGAAUGAAGAGCUGGGAAAGUCAGCUCAAACGGCUUAGCAGACACCGACACCCUGUCUCAGUGUUUGCUUUAAGGGAAGUUGAGAUGUAAUUGUAAGUAAAUGCUUGUUAACAGACAGGUGAACGGGUAGCGGGCGAGGUACCAUCGUGUUAACAGACAGGUGAAUGAUAGCAGGAUGGACACCUCCAUGUUAAGAGACAGGUGAGCCAUCAGUGCAGGGAGCGCCGAUUUCUAUGUGUUGAGAGACUCAGUUCUUAUGCCUUUGGCUAACGACUGUGUACUUUGGGCCAUCUUUUGUCGUCUGAUCCCAUAUUAAGACAUCAUCUGACAUUAAUUGUUGGUUUCUCAGAUUCUUUGCUAUUCUGCAAUGGCUCAAAGGUCACUAAUAAAGACUUCUGGCCAGUUUAUUAAUAGUCACAGCUAUUUUUACUUCCGCUUGUUGCGGUGCAGCUCUGUUGUAGUAAUGGAAACACACGGACACUGUUUUCUUUCGGUGUCUUUUGUAGGAGCUGGGUAGGGAAAGGAUUGUACAGGGUGUCUUGGCAUCACCAGGAUAAGUAGCUUUGGUGUUAGGCACAACUGCAAGUUGUCUCCUUGUCAAGAUCUCUUUGUUGCAAGUGUGAGACUCCAAUCCAAGCACACAGGGAAUGUGUUAGCUCCAGAGACACGACUGCAGUGGUUACGUUCACAAAGUGUUGGCUCCAGCGGUUCUGGUGGGGCGCGCGCCCUCUCUGCUCUGUGCUCCUCCCCUUUGCUCUUGGUUUCUUUCCACUUACCUCUCUGGUUCUCUGAUUUCGCCUUCUCAUGGGCACACACACACACAAUCCUCAUCUCACCUUGUUUCUAAAUAUUCCGCUCUAAUCCCAUGCCUGCAAAAUGGCAGCCAAGCUCCUGGUUGCUUUCACGUUUUCUGCGUAGCCUUUCCCGGUCCUCUAGCAACCUCGCGAGGUCCCUGAUUGGGCUUCCCUCCGUCAAUCACAGUGACCAAGAUAAAAGAUUCUGAUUGGUUGUCCUGGGCCAAUGCCUGUAGCAGUGGGUCGAUCACGAGAAAGAGAAUACUUCAGUCAUGGAUGGAGGGACAUCCAGGGCAGUCAACAGAAGGCAGAUAGGGAUUCAUGCUGGGCAGACAUGUGGAGUGGCUGCUGCCACCACCACCGUCUCAGAUCCACAUAUCCAAAUUGGAUAGCCAGAAGUCCCGUCCCCAAAGCAACCGGCAUGUUUAAUCCUCUGACCCCUCUGUGACUUUGAGGAAAGAGACAAACACGCUCACUCCCUUCCUAUAUGUAGGAUCCGGGUUGAGACUAUCUCGGAGACAAGGACUGGGCACAGGCUCUUUGAGCGACACACCCAGAGCAUGAGGCUGUAUUAGUGAAACGGGGAGCAUUGAUAAAAGUGUGUUAAUGAAAUCAGGAAAUAGAACUCAGGUGCCCUUCCCCCAAGACCUUCUAAGAAGUAAUACCAAGUUGUAUCAUUCCAAACUAGGUGUGGCAGCGCACACUUGUAAACCCAGCCGAAGCAGGAAGAGCUCAAGGCCAGCCUGGGCUGCUUGGAGGCUAUGCCAGGAGUCAUUUGUGGCCCAUUUGACUUGACCGAGUGAAGGAGAACACAGCGACUACUCUCAGAGAGAUGCAGGAGUUCAAGAGGCAUCUGUGGGCAAAGCCUAGCCUGACCUCUGUUAUGAAGGAUCCCAAAGCUGGCCUGGGCCCCCCCGUAGGCUUCUGCGGUCACCUGUUAAUUGCUCCCUCUGCUUUUGGCUCAACCCUUAACCAGUGGGGCACACUGCAGCCCCAAAGGCUUCAGGGCUUUCACACCUUACAGGUUCUGGCUACACUGACUGGACUGAUUGCUAGGUUAACAAUAAAGAUUUUUGUUGGGGGAUGGGGAUUUAGCUCAGUGGUAGAACGCUUGCCUAGUAAUCGCAAGGCCCUGGGUUCGGUCCUCAGCUCAAAAAAAAAAAAAAAAAAAAAAGUUUUUGUCUCCCGAACUGAGGAUUCUAAAUGUUUCCUCUGAAGCUCGCACCUGAGUCCUGCUGAGAAUGUCUUGCUAAGUUGCUUACUCACUGGCCCUAAUAAAAGAGCUUGGUAGUUCCUGGGGAUAGUUAAAACCUUCAAGAUUCUUCAGAAAUAGAGACAGGGUGAGGUAAGCCAGCGCUUGAUGUACUGGAAUGUUCUUCAGAUCAACUUUUGCCUGUGGAACUCAUGAUGGAGAAGCAUUUCCUGUUAUAAACGGAAGCCUGGCUAUGAUGGGGCCACUUUUCCAGCAGCUAACAAGCAGCCAGCAGCCUCCCCUGCAAUCCGGCUUCUUCAUUUUCUCAGAUGUCAAAGGGUGUUUUCUUCAGUGAUGUCACCUUCCUUGGAAUUCUUAACACAGCCAUCCAGGAAGUCACUUGGAGAGCAAUGUGAGCUGGCAGAAUUGAAACCCGAAUGUCAUCCUUUAGCUCUAAAUUGUCUUCUGUGAAUGUGUAAACUACAGGGCUAUAGACUAUGCCCACCAGUCAAAUCUGGACCUCUGCUUGUUCGUGUCAAUAAAGUUUUAUUAGAAUAGUCAGAUUACA
Rattus norvegicus (Norway rat) is the source of this 3981-nucleotide long non-coding RNA. RefSeq lists it as uncharacterized. Lineage: Eukaryota; Metazoa; Chordata; Mammalia; Rodentia; Muridae. The record is from RefSeq and is a predicted model, not a curated record.